This is a long non-coding RNA of Esox lucius (northern pike), 1486 nucleotides long. NCBI's taxonomy places the organism in Eukaryota, Metazoa, Chordata, Actinopteri, Esociformes, Esocidae. The record is from Ensembl.
GCAGGAGUUAUUAAGUAAAACAAUUAGCAAUCACGAUUUCUGUCCUGACAGCUCUAAUUCCAGAAAAUGUGAGGGGUUAAUACACAUUCCUUGCUUUAAAGACUAGCUAGCAUAAUGGCCAACAAGACUGACUCAGACAUCAGACUACGGCUGCUCAGCAUUUUAUUCCGUAGAAAACAGAUUGGUAUAGUAAAAUACAUUUCGGUCAGUAUUCAUUAAGCAUUGCAUGUUCUUCUAAAUCAAGUCCAGUAAGAGUGUACCAUAAGGAGCUGUAAAGUAUAAUACACUUUAAAGUUUUUCAAACCAACAAGACAGCUGGAAAACAUAGGAAUGUUUUAGCGGUUUUCUUCAACACCAAUUACUAUCAUUUAGUGUUCACAUUGAAAAAUGCAAGAUCCCGAUCACCCCCCAAAACAAAUUAAAUAGAAACAAAUCAUUUACAAAAAUCAAUUCACAUUACACUGGAAUUACAAUAAAUUCUACUUAAAAAUCAUCUAUCACAAAAUAUUAAAUUUUUUAAGGCAGAUUGAAGAGCUUUAAUGGCAUCAGUGUAUUAAACGUAUAACAAUGCAUAGAAAUUGUGCACAGAUGCUACAAAUACUUUUAAAGUGUGUGUGUGUGUGUGUGUGUGUGAGAGAUAAAGCAUGGUGAGAGAGAUGCCAUGAUUUGUGUCAUUGGUGUGUGGCAUCAGUUGUAGGUAUCAUUUGUACAUGGUAGUCAACUGGCAGAAAAUACUUCAGAUACAAGUUACAAAACUAACAAUACAUUUGUCCGAAGAAAUAAGCUAUGUUCCCCCACUGUUCAAUUUAACACCUGUUUAUCCAAUUGUACGUAUGACUGUCCCAUCAGAGCAACUACCAACAGGCUCAGGAGAGCGACGUGAGUUCUCCUAAAAUACCCUCUAACAAAUGAUUCAGUCCCAUUUCAGUAUACCUGUCUGUAGUGGAUGCUGUAACAGUCUGCCUUGGAGUGCCUGGGCCACUCGGGCUGUGCCAUUUCUAAUACAUUUAAAUGUGUUUAUCAGUGCCAUAUAUUGCUAGUUGUUUCAGUGUGCACUAUGCACUUGCGGUAUAAUCAUUAACAGGCCUCUGUCAGAAUUUGGCGUGUAACCAUGUUUCAUAAACAUGUAGAUUACUUGCCCAUUAAGGAAUGCAUGAAACAGCUGCACAGUUGCUGUGCAUCACAUCAGUGUAAGAAUACAGCCUGGUCAAUAGGAUCCCAGUUAAAGCAAAGACCACCCAAGUACAGUGGCAAACACUCACACUACAGUACCGGUUGAUGUGGUGGGACACCUUCGGUCAAUGUGUCAGGUGUGAUCAAACUCUCCAGUAGAUGUACACUGAGAGUACCAUAAUACCAUAAUAUAGUAUAAAAAAUGCACCACUGAUUAUUGAAGAGUACCAAAUAGUAUGACAGAUUAUUAAAGAGUACCAAAUAGUAUGACAGAUUAUUAAAGAGUACCAAAUAGUAUGACAGAUUAUUAAAG